This 1016-nucleotide ribosomal RNA is filed under the name uncultured bacterium. RNAcentral's name for it is "bacterial SSU rRNA". It matches the Rfam family "Bacterial small subunit ribosomal RNA", at positions 357 to 1376 of the family's 1533-position model. The record is from RNAcentral.
AGGAAUAUUGGUCAAUGGACGAGAGUCUGAACCAGCCAAGUAGCGUGAAGGAUGACUGCCCUAUGGGUUGUAAACUUCUUUUAUAUGGGAAUAAAGUGAGCCACGUGUGGCUUUUUGUAUGUACCAUACGAAUAAGGAUCGGCUAACUCCGUGCCAGCAGCCGCGGUAAUACGGAGGAUCCGAGCGUUAUCCGGAUUUAUUGGGUUUAAAGGGAGCGUAGGCGGACUAUUAAGUCAGCUGUGAAAGUUUGCGGCUCAACCGUAAAAUUGCAGUUGAUACUGGUCGUCUUGAGUGCAGUAGAGGUAGGCGGAAUUCGUGGUGUAGCGGUGAAAUGCUUAGAUAUCACGAAGAACUCCGAUUGCGAAGGCAGCUUACUGGACUGUAACUGACGCUGAUGCUCGAAAGUGUGGGUAUCAAACAGGAUUAGAUACCCUGGUAGUCCACACAGUAAACGAUGAAUACUCGCUGUUUGCGAUAUACGGCAAGCGGCCAAGCGAAAGCAUUAAGUAUUCCACCUGGGGAGUACGCCGGCAACGGUGAAACUCAAAGGAAUUGACGGGGGCCCGCACAAGCGGAGGAACAUGUGGUUUAAUUCGAUGAUACGCGAGGAACCUUACCCGGGCUUAAAUUGCAAAUGAAUAUAGUGGAAACAUUAUAGCCGCAAGGCAUUUGUGAAGGUGCUGCAUGGUUGUCGUCAGCUCGUGCCGUGAGGUGUCGGCUUAAGUGCCAUAACGAGCGCAACCCUUAUCUUUAGUUACUAACAGGUCAUGCUGAGGACUCUAGAGAGACUGCCGUCGUAAGAUGUGAGGAAGGUGGGGAUGACGUCAAAUCAGCACGGCCCUUACGUCCGGGGCUACACACGUGUUACAAUGGGGGGUACAGAAGGCAGCUACACAGCGAUGUGAUGCUAAUCCCAAAAGCCUCUCUCAGUUCGGAUUGGAGUCUGCAACCCGACUCCAUGAAGCUGGAUUCGCUAGUAAUCGCGCAUCAGCCACGGCGCGGUGAAUACGUUCCCG